Rhinichthys klamathensis goyatoka is the source of this 782-nucleotide long non-coding RNA. RefSeq lists it as uncharacterized. The record is from RefSeq and is a predicted model, not a curated record. The transcript is spliced from 2 exons. Lineage: Eukaryota; Metazoa; Chordata; Actinopteri; Cypriniformes; Leuciscidae.
AUGGUAUUUAAGUGUCCAUAUUCUUUUCCCAUAUAGUGUACAGUACACAUGACAACCCGUUUAAAGUCUCCUUUUUCAGUUAGUUUGCAUCAGACAUAAAUGACAGGAAGAGUUGUAAUGAACGGAAGAGACAGUUAGUUAGAGGACAGAUGGAUGGGGGCGUGGCCUGUGGAUUUCUGAAUCACCUCUCAGAGAUUCUUGCUUGGACAACAGGGUUAUUCUGUGACAUCAUUCCUCCAGGCUACAUGGUAAGCCCCUGUGUCAUAACAUCCACAUUAUAUUCAUUAAAGAGAGGAUGUGGACGUGUUUGUCAAAACCAUUUCUGAAUGCUGUCCUUCAUGUUCUCCCAGCAGCUCAUGCUAUUAGUGUCGGACCGACUUCCUGUACCUUCAGAACAGCUGCUAGUCAGCCUGUCAUUCUCUUGUUGGAAGCCUGAAACCGGAGCCACGAGGGAAUGCCAAACUUUUCAGGAAAAGACCUACGCAUUCUGCCCCCCGUGAGCCGACAGCUCCUUGCCAUCAAAGUCAACGAUGCCGCUUUGCUGUGGAGAGAUGGAGAUCUGCUAUUGCCUGCGGACAGCUGGGUUUUACACAAUGGGUGUAAAGAUGUGGAAGAGGGUAAGGAAUGCUCUGGCAUUUGGAGUUAGCAUGAAAUCAAUAUCAGGGCACCGUACUAUUUUUAUUUCUCACAAAUAUGUUAUAAUGCAUUUCUACAUACAAUUUUGUAUAUCUAUAUUCAAGAUUUAGCUGUUGAAUCUGCAAUGUAACCAAAUAAAAACUCAU